CUUUUCACUCUAUGAAACUAACCACUUUAAUUUCUCCACGGUUUUCUUCCUCCAUUAACCAAUCUCAUCUCCUAUAUAUAGCAUUUGUCAGUAGAUAUCUGCUCUUAUUUAAAAUAAUUUUCUCAUGUUGUCGUUUCACCGAAAUUUGAAAGAAGGCAUAGGAACGCCAUCAUCCUUUUGUUCUCAUUCAAUGUUGUCGAGAACAAUUUCAACGCAUUAAAAAUUCACAAACCAGAGUUUUUCAUCAAAGAUGGAGUUUAAGAGUUUUUGUUGUUUUACGUUGUGCGGGGUCUUUCGGAUAUUGAGUAAGCUAAAUUUAAGAUAUAUUUCUUCUCACACACAUUUUGUAUUAUUUGAAUACAUUAAUGUCAAAGUCAUGAUUGGGAAAACAUUUGUUCA
This is a long non-coding RNA of Arabidopsis lyrata subsp. lyrata, 399 nucleotides long. RefSeq lists it as uncharacterized. The transcript has 3 exons. The record is from RefSeq and is a predicted model, not a curated record. NCBI's taxonomy places the organism in Eukaryota, Viridiplantae, Streptophyta, Magnoliopsida, Brassicales, Brassicaceae.